GACGAACGCUGGCGGCGUGCUUAACACAUGCAAGUCGAACGGAAAGGCCCUGCUUUUGUGGGGUGCUCGAGUGGCGAACGGGUGAGUAACACGUGAGUAACCUGCCCUUGACUUUGGGAUAACUUCAGGAAACUGGGGCUAAUACCGGAUAGGAGCUCCUGCUGCAUGGUGGGGGUUGGAAAGUUUCGGCGGUUGGGGAUGGACUCGCGGCUUAUCAGCUUGUUGGUGGGGUAGUGGCUUACCAAGGCUUUGACGGGUAGCCGGCCUGAGAGGGUGACCGGCCACAGUGGGACUGAGAUACGGCCCAGACUGCUACGGGAGGCAGCAGUGGGGAAUAUUGCACAAUGGGCGGAAGCGUGAUGCAGCAACGCCGCGUGCGGGAUGACGGCCUUCGGGUUGUAAACCGCUUUCGCCUGUGACGAAGCGUGAGUGACGGUAAUGGGUAAAGAAGCACCGGCUAACUACGU
This 467-nucleotide ribosomal RNA is filed under the name uncultured bacterium. Its description in RNAcentral is "partial 16S ribosomal RNA". It matches the Rfam family "Bacterial small subunit ribosomal RNA", at positions 28 to 506 of the family's 1533-position model. The record is from RNAcentral.